Molecule: long non-coding RNA, 250 nt
Filed under: Homo sapiens (human)
Lineage: Eukaryota; Metazoa; Chordata; Mammalia; Primates; Hominidae
Description: HSALNT0365328
Source: RNAcentral
UCCAUCCCUCUUCCUGGAGACCUGAGCUCCUGUUCUCCAUGGUGAUCCAUUCAGUGACUUCUCCAAACUAUCUGGUAACAGUAUUGGCUCAGACCACGGAACUGCCCUUUGAUACCAAUUGCAAGUUCUCUGACCCACUGUGGAUCCAUGCUCAGUCUGCAUACAACACUCAGGUCUAGGCAGCCACGUGGCAUCCUGGCGCUUCAGUGUGGAGGCCAGAAGAGGAGAGGAAUCCUCACCAAACAGUCAG